CCUACGGGCGGCAGCAGUGAGGAAUAUUGGUCAAUGGACGAGAGUCUGAACCAGCCAAGUAGCGUGAAGGAUGACUGCCCUAUGGGUUGUAAACUUCUUUUAUAAAGGAAUAAAACGAGGCACGGGUGCCUUUUUGCAUGUACUUUAUGAAUAAGGAUCGGCUAACUCCGUGCCAGCAGCCGCGGUAAUACGGAGGAUCCGAGCGUUAUCCGGAUGUAUUGGGUUUAAAGGGAGCGUAGAUGGGUUGUUAAGUCAGUUGUGAAAGUUUGCGGCUUAACCGUAAAAUUGCAAUUGAUACUGGCAGUCUUGAGUACAGUUGAGGUAGGCGGAAUUCGUGGUGUAGCGGUGAAAUGCUUAGAUAUCACGAAGAACACCGAUUGCGAAGGCAGCUUACUAAACUGUGACUGACAUUGAUGCUCGAAAGUGUGGGUAUCAAACAGGAUUAGAUACCCGAGUAGUC
Molecule: ribosomal RNA, 460 nt
Filed under: uncultured bacterium
Lineage: Bacteria
Description: partial 16S ribosomal RNA
Rfam family: Bacterial small subunit ribosomal RNA
Source: RNAcentral